Molecule: ribosomal RNA, 492 nt
Filed under: uncultured bacterium
Lineage: Bacteria
Description: partial 16S ribosomal RNA
Rfam family: Bacterial small subunit ribosomal RNA
Source: RNAcentral
AGUGAACGCUGGCGGUAGGCCUAACACAUGCAAGUCGAACGGCAGCACAGUAAGAGCUUGCUCUUACGGGUGGCGAGUGGCGGACGGGUGAGGAAUACAUCGGAAUCUACUUUUUCGUGGGGGAUAACGUAGGGAAACUUACGCUAAUACCGCAUACGACCUACGGGUGAAAGCAGGGGAUCUUCGGACCUUGCGCGAUUGAAUGAGCCGAUGUCGGAUUAGCUAGUUGGCGGGGUAAAGGCCCACCAAGGCGACGAUCCGUAGCUGGUCUGAGAGGAUGAUCAGCGACACUGGAACUGAGCCACGGUCCCGCGUCCUACGGGAGGCAGCAGUGUGGAAUAUUGGACAAUGGGCGCAAGCCUGAUCCAGCCAUAGCGCGUGAGUGACGAAGGCCUUCGGGUUGUAAAGCCCUUUUGUUGGGAAAGAAAAGCAGCAGGUUAAUACCCCGCUGUUCUGACGGUACCCAAAGAAUAAGCACCGGCUAACUUCGUG